UUUUCCUACGGGAGGCAGCAGUGGGGGAUAUUGCACAAUGGGGGGAACCCUGAUGCAGCGACGCCGCGUGGGUGAAGGAGCGUUUCGGCGCGUAAAGCCCUAUCGGCAGGGAAGAAGGAGGACGGUACCUGACUAAGAAGCCCCGGCUAACUACGUGCCAGCAGCCGCGGUAAUACGUAGGGGGCGAGCGUUAUCCGGAUUUACUGGGUGUAAAGGGGGCGCAGACGGCCAUGGCAAGCCCGGUGUGAAAGGUGCGGGCACAACCCGCCGACUGCACUGGGAACUGCCUGGCUGGAGUGCCGGAG
RNAcentral lists this ribosomal RNA (305 nucleotides) under uncultured bacterium. Its description in RNAcentral is "bacterial SSU rRNA". It matches the Rfam family "Bacterial small subunit ribosomal RNA", at positions 334 to 654 of the family's 1533-position model. The record is from RNAcentral.